RNAcentral lists this ribosomal RNA (231 nucleotides) under uncultured bacterium. Its description in RNAcentral is "partial 16S ribosomal RNA". It matches the Rfam family "Bacterial small subunit ribosomal RNA", at positions 104 to 334 of the family's 1533-position model. The record is from RNAcentral.
CCGGGGUGGAGUAAUGUCUGGGAAACUGCCUGAUGGAGGGGGAUAACUACUGGAAACGGUAGCUAAUACCGCAUAACGUCGCAAGACCAAAGUGGGGGACCUUCGGGCCUCAUGCCAUAAGAUGUGCCCAGAUGGGAUUAGCUAGUAGGUGGGGUAACGGCUCACCUAGGCGACGAUCCCUAGCUGGUCUGAGAGGAUGACCAGCCACACUGGAACUGAGACACGGUCCAG